Molecule: ribosomal RNA, 309 nt
Filed under: Rubrivivax sp.
Lineage: Bacteria; Pseudomonadati; Pseudomonadota; Betaproteobacteria; Burkholderiales; Sphaerotilaceae
Description: partial 23S ribosomal RNA
Rfam family: Bacterial large subunit ribosomal RNA
Source: RNAcentral
GUGAGACAGUUUGGUCCCUAUCUUCCGUGGGCGCUGCAAGAUUGAGAGAGCCUGCUCCUAGUACGAGAGGACCGGAGUGGACGCACCUCUGGUGCAUCGGUUGUCACGCCAGUGGCAUAGCCGAGUAGCUAAGUGCGGAAGGGAUAACCGCUGAAAGCAUCUAAGCGGGAAACUCGUCUCAAGAUGAGUCUUGCCGGGGCCUUGAGCCCCCUGAAGAGUCGUUCGAGACCAGGACGUUGAUAGGCCGGGUGUGGAAGCGCAGUAAUGCGUUGAGCUGACCGGUACUAAUUGCUCGUGAGGCUUGACCCU